GAACACAAAAUGGCGACACGUGGUUAGCAUUCGUCGCCAACGAGAAAUUGGGGUCGGCCCGAAAGCUCUAGAAUGCACCCCCCUUCUUCCCCGGGGCCUUCCACCUCCGCGAGUUUUAUGACUUAAAAAACCCCACAGGCUGGUCUGAAGGUCGGAGGCCUAAUUUUAACGCGUUUUCCUCCCUUUAAUUUGAAACGCGAACGCGAAUGGCUGUAAAAUGUGGGCACAAUAUUUAAUUUCUCGCCUUUUUAAAGCUUAAUAGUGGAUAAUAGGGGGCAGUAUCAAGGGAUAAUUUGGGUCCCCACAGUACCAAAGCAUUUAGAAACCUCUGUUUAAUUUAAGGAAUGAGAUAAAUUACUGCUUUUCUAGACUUCCUAGCAUGGGCUGUUGUGCUGGAGAGAACGAGAGCUACGAAGAGACUACAAUGCCUCUGACUUUUUCAUAGGACAGUUGGCCGAGGAAGACAAACAUAAAGAUGAAGUGCUUAAUUCAAGGUCACACAAUGUCGGGGAUGGACCUCCAGAUUUCCUUACUGACCUGCAUUAUCUUGUGGAUACCUGAGUGAAUUCCACACCACCCAUUUUAUAGAUGAAACCACUGAGACAUGGAGCAACUGACUGAGUAGUCACUGCCCCACCCCUGCCUGGAGCCUCACACAUGACUCGUCUCCUCUCAGUGACCACAGGUUGGUUGAGGGGUUUAACAAGGCUAAGAAGGUGAGACGUGGUCUUGUAACACAGUGGUUAAGAAUGUGACUUUGGAGCCAGCCUGCUAGGGGCUGAAUUCUGACUCAGCCAUUUACUAACUGUGUGACCUUAGGGAGGAGGACCUGGUUGAUAGAAGAAUUUAUCUCGUAGUCUUAACAUCCACUGUAAUUCCAAACUUUGAGGACGAUAGAGAUCAGUGGGCUUUGACUGCCCAGCAUGCAGUCUCCAUUCUUAGAAAGUGACCUCAUUUCUUUUCCAGGUGGGUUCCCAAGCCUGUAAAAUGUAAGCCUUAUGCUGCUGAGGGCCAUCUUGCCACCCUGAGGGAAACGCUGCCUGA
RNAcentral lists this non-coding RNA (1044 nucleotides) under Pan troglodytes (chimpanzee). Lineage: Eukaryota; Metazoa; Chordata; Mammalia; Primates; Hominidae. The record is from RNAcentral.